CGGGGUGAGUAACGCGUGGGCAACCUGGCCUGUACAGGGGGAUAACACUUAGAAAUAGGUGCUAAUACCGCAUAAGCGCACAGCUUCGCAUGAAGUGGUGUGAAAAACUCUGGUGGUAUACGAUGGUUCCGCGUCUGAUUAGCUUGUUGGUGGGGUAAUGGCUCACCAAGGCGACGAUCAGUAGCCGGCCUGAGAGGGUGAACGGCCACAUUGGGACUGAGACACGGCCCAAACUCCUACGGGAGGCAGCAG
RNAcentral lists this ribosomal RNA (252 nucleotides) under uncultured bacterium. RNAcentral describes it as "partial 16S ribosomal RNA". It matches the Rfam family "Bacterial small subunit ribosomal RNA", at positions 100 to 354 of the family's 1533-position model. The record is from RNAcentral.